CCGUCGGGAGGCCUCUGGUGGGACAGGGGUCACGUAUGGACGGCACGCCCCCAGUCAUAAGCGCCACACCCCGCAGCCCGGGCGAGGUGAGG
Loktanella atrilutea is the source of this 92-nucleotide non-coding RNA. NCBI's taxonomy places the organism in Bacteria, Pseudomonadati, Pseudomonadota, Alphaproteobacteria, Rhodobacterales, Roseobacteraceae. The record is from Rfam.